GACGAACGCUGGCGGCGUGCCUAAUACAUGCAAGUAGAACGCUGAAGGAGGAGCUUGCUUCUCUGGAUGAGUUGCGAACGGGUAAGUAACGCGUAGGUAACCUGCCUGGUAGCGGGGGAUAACUAUUGGAAACGAUAGCUAAUACCGCAUAAGAUUGACUAUUGCAUGAUAGUCAGUUAAAAGGUGCAAUUGCAUCACUACCAGAUGGACCUGCGUUGUAUUAGCUAGUUGGUGGGGUAACGGCUCACCAAGGCGACGAUACAUAGCCGACCUGAGAGGGUGAUCGGCCACACUGGGACUGAGACACGGCCCAGACUCCUACGGGAGGCAGCAGUAGGGAAUCUUCGGCAAUGGACGGAAGUCUGACCGAGCAACGCCGCGUGAGUGAAGAAGGUUUUCGGAUCGUAAAGCUCUGUUGUAAGAGAAGAACGAGUGUGAGAGUGGAAAGUUCACACUGUGACGGUAUCUUACCAGAAAGGGACGGCUAACUACGUG
RNAcentral lists this ribosomal RNA (495 nucleotides) under uncultured bacterium. Its description in RNAcentral is "partial 16S ribosomal RNA". It matches the Rfam family "Bacterial small subunit ribosomal RNA", at positions 28 to 507 of the family's 1533-position model. The record is from RNAcentral.